UACGGGGGGAGCAAGCGUUGUUCGGAUUUACUGGGCGUAAAGGGCGCGUAGGCGGCCACGACAAGUCAGUUGUGAAAUCUCUGGGCUUAACUCAGAGCGGUCAACUGAUACUGUCGGGCUAGAGUGCAGAAGGGGCAACUGGAAUUCUCGGUGUAGCGGUGAAAUGCGUAGAUAUCGAGAGGAACACCUGCGGCGAAGGCGGGUUGCUGGGCUGACACUGACGCUGAGGCGCGAAAGCUAGGGGAGCGAACAGG
This 254-nucleotide ribosomal RNA is filed under the name uncultured bacterium. RNAcentral describes it as "partial 16S ribosomal RNA". It matches the Rfam family "Bacterial small subunit ribosomal RNA", at positions 524 to 776 of the family's 1533-position model. The record is from RNAcentral.